CAUAAUGCUUGCUUAACAAAUUGGAUUCCUUUCUACAGGGAUUUUUUCUGGAUUCCUCAAGGCUGACCUUUAUGGAGUACCCGUUAUAUCUAACAUGAACAUAUGUGAUGAAAAUCCACAGAAAACUUUAAAAGGUUUACCAGUAUCAGGAAAGGAUUUGAAGUUUUUCUGUCUUAUAAACUUUGUAACCAAGGCAAACAUUUAUAUGACGGCUAACCAAAGUCAACAGACAACAUGGCAAUGAUAUGUUUCUUUGUAAAGGAUGGAACUUCCAGGAGAUAAUGAAGAGUGAAAUGAGUAGAACCACUAGACAUUAAAUACAGUUACAGACUUAAUAUUGGAAGAAUAACUUGUAAAUGUCUACAUCGAGAGAAUGAACUGAGAAAUGGAAACACAAAAAAUAUAAUCUAUAUAUUGCCAGAUGAUACCUUCUACAGUGUGGGAAGGAGAUGGAGGUGUUGAAUUUUUAAAAAUAAAAUUUUCAAAGUUAUGUCA
RNAcentral lists this long non-coding RNA (495 nucleotides) under Monodelphis domestica (gray short-tailed opossum). RNAcentral describes it as "lncRNA (ENSMODG00000050086.1)". Lineage: Eukaryota; Metazoa; Chordata; Mammalia; Didelphimorphia; Didelphidae. The record is from RNAcentral.